UUAAAUCAAAACAGCCUGGCAAACAAGUUGGCAUAAAGCAAAGAUAUUUGAAAAGAUGGCAUGAAAGGGAACCGUAGCUGAGCAAGAAAAAAUCCCAUUUCAAAGCUUUGUUAACAUAACAAAAAAAAAUAUUUCAUCCAAAAAACAAACAUUCACACAACUAAAACAAAACUCCAUCUUUCUAGUUUUAAAUUUUAACUUCCAAUCUAAGCAGCAAACAUGAAGAUAAUAAGAAGAUACAUGCCUUUUCAGAUACCGAUGAAGACAGAGACGGUGGUUCGCGGUGGAAGUUGAAACGGCGGUGAUGUUUUCUGUUUCUUCUUCUUCUCUUUUUUUUUAUGUGUUUUUUAUAGUAUUAAUCUCUGAUUUCUCCCCCUCCAAAUGUCUCUCUUCUUUGUAAAAAAAAGAUGUAUUUAUAGAGUUUUUUUAUCUGAUUAGUUGCUUUCUUGGCUGUGUCUUUGUUUGAGUUUGAGCUUUCUAGUUCUUUGUUUGAUGUUUCGUUUUCUUUGCUCAUCAUCUGCAUUUUUCUGCAUCUCUGAUGCCUUCAUAGUUUUAGCUUAUUUGUUUUGAUCUGUUGAUUUGCUGAGCUUUUAUUUGUCUUUUAGUUUCUUUUUUUUUAAACUCAAAAAUUUGUCUCUUUGUUAACUAUAAUGUGUACAAUGGCAGAUUUAAAAAAGUUAUCUUUUUAUUUCUCUAUUUAGUUAAAACAGGAACAGAUGUAUCAAUAAGCAUGGCUUGUGCAUCAAUGGCAGUCAGCAUCAACAUAGCAGGGUUUGACAGUGAACAAAGUCAACAUAGCAUGGCUUGAUCUGAUUUAAUUUUUAUUGUAAUUUAUUUUUGGCUUUAUUCUUAGUUUGUAAUUUGAUUUGGUUUUAAAAACUCUAAUUAGAUGAAAUUGUAAAUUUAUGAUACAUAAUAAAAAUAUUUAUUGUAAUUA
RNAcentral lists this long non-coding RNA (937 nucleotides) under Cicer arietinum (chickpea). RNAcentral's name for it is "long non-coding RNA (CARI_LNC002501)". The record is from RNAcentral. Lineage: Eukaryota; Viridiplantae; Streptophyta; Magnoliopsida; Fabales; Fabaceae.